GCCAGGCGCAGCGGCCACACCUGUAGUCCUAGUGGCUGGGGAGGCUGAGGCAGGAGGAUUGCAGGUUUGAGGCCAGCCUCAGCAACUCAGUGAGACCCUGUCUCAA
This 106-nucleotide small RNA is filed under the name Marmota monax (woodchuck). The record is from RNAcentral. Lineage: Eukaryota; Metazoa; Chordata; Mammalia; Rodentia; Sciuridae.